RNAcentral lists this ribosomal RNA (497 nucleotides) under uncultured bacterium. Its description in RNAcentral is "partial 16S ribosomal RNA". It matches the Rfam family "Bacterial small subunit ribosomal RNA", at positions 28 to 507 of the family's 1533-position model. The record is from RNAcentral.
GAUGAACGCUGGCGGCGUGCCUAAUACAUGCAAGUAGAACGCUGAAGGAAGGAGCUUGCUCUUUCCGGAUGAGUUGCGAACGGGUGUGUAACGCGUAGGUAACCUGCCUGGUAGCGGGGGAUAACUAUUGGAAACGAUAGCUAAUACCGCAUAACAGUAGAUGUUGCAUGAUAUCUACUUAAAAGUUGCAAUUGCACCACUACCAGAUGGACCUGCGUUGUAUUAGGUAGUUGGUGAGGUAACGGCUCACCAAGGCGACGAUACAUAGCCGACCUGAGAGGGUGAGCAGCCACACUGAGAGGGAGACACGGCCCAGACUGCUACAGGAGGCAGCAGGAGGGAAUCGUGGGCAAGGGACGGAAGUCUGAACGAGAAACGCCGCGUGAGUGAAGAAGGUUUUCGAAUCGUAAAGCUCGGUUGUAAGAGAAGAACGAGUGUGAGAGUGGAAAGAUCACACUGUGACGGUAUCUUAUCAGAAAGGGACGGCUAACUACGUG